AGAACGAACGCUGGCGGCGUGGAUAAGACAUGCAAGUCGAACGCGACUUAUCGUGUUAGCAAUAACAUGGUAAGUUGAGUGGCGAAAGGGUGCGUAACACGUGGGAAUUUACCAAGAAGUGGGGAAUAGCUCGACGAAAGUCGAAUUAAUACCGCAUGUGAUCGAAAGAUCAAAGCCGGGGACCGCAAGGCCUGGCGCUUUUUGAGAAGCCCGCGGCCCAUCAGCUAGUUGGCGGGGUAACGGCCCACCAAGGCUAUGACGGGUAGCUGGUCUGAGAGGACGACCAGCCACACUGGAACUGAGACACGGUCCAGACACCUACGGGUGGCAGCAGUCGAGAAUUUUUCACAAUGGAC
This 356-nucleotide ribosomal RNA is filed under the name uncultured bacterium. RNAcentral describes it as "SSU rRNA". It matches the Rfam family "Bacterial small subunit ribosomal RNA", at positions 26 to 376 of the family's 1533-position model. The record is from RNAcentral.